AGAGUUUGAUCCUGGCUCAGGAUGAACGCUAGCGGCAGGCCUAAUACAUGCAAGUCGAACGGCAAGUAGUGUAGCAAUACAUUACCUAGAGUGACGUACGGGUGCGUAACACGUAUGCAACCUACCCUUUACAGAUGGAUAGCUCGGGGAAACUCGAAUUAACCCGUCAUAAAAUAAUUGAAUGGCAUCAUUUGAUUAUUAAAACUCCGGUGGUAAAGGAUGGGCAUGCGUCUGAUUAGUUAGUUGGUAGUGUAACGGACUACCAAGACGAUGAUCAGUAGGGGAACUGAGAGGUUGAUCCCCCACACUGGCACUGAGAUACGGGCCAGACUCCUACGGGAGGCAGCAGUAGGGAAUAUUGGUCAAUGGAUGCAAGUCUGAACCAGCCAUGCCGCGUGCAGGAAGAAGGCCUUCUGGGUUGUAAACUGCUUUUGUCAGGGGAUAAAAUUUCCUUGCGAGGAAAAUUGAAGGUACCUGGCGAAUAAGCCACGGCUAACUACGUGCCAGCAGCCGCGGUAAUACGUAGGUGGCAAGCGUUGUCCGGAUUUAUUGGGUUUAAAGGGUGCGUAGGCGGCCUAUUAAGUCAGUGGUGAAAUAUCUCAGCUUAACUGAGAAGGUGCCAAUGAUACUGAUGGGCUUGAGUACAGAUGAGGUAGGCGGAAUUGACGGUGUAGCGGUGAAAUGCUUAGAUAUCGUCAAGAACACCUAUAGCGAAGGCAGCUUACUAGGCUGUAACUGACGCUGAGGCACGAAAGUGUGGGGAUCAAACAGGAUUAGAUACCCCAGUAGUCC
This 792-nucleotide ribosomal RNA is filed under the name uncultured Sphingobacteriales bacterium. Its description in RNAcentral is "bacterial SSU rRNA". It matches the Rfam family "Bacterial small subunit ribosomal RNA", at positions 8 to 796 of the family's 1533-position model. The record is from RNAcentral. Lineage: Bacteria; Pseudomonadati; Bacteroidota; Sphingobacteriia; Sphingobacteriales.